Molecule: long non-coding RNA, 7134 nt
Filed under: Lactuca sativa (garden lettuce)
Lineage: Eukaryota; Viridiplantae; Streptophyta; Magnoliopsida; Asterales; Asteraceae
Description: long non-coding RNA (LSAT_LNC004521)
Source: RNAcentral
GGGGUUUAGGGUUUCUUGACCCCUUUGUUGGUUAGAUUUGAUGUCCAUUUCGUCCCUAUUUGUGAUGAGGCUUGUAAUGGGAUCCAUAGAGGUCCAGAGAAGCUUUAUUCGUUAAGCUUUAUGAGGAUUCAUGGGAGUUUUGACCAAGGGUUAUGAGAUAUGGGGCUAAAACAUCAUAUAGGAGCAAAUAGUUGUUGUUUGAGCACCAAGGUUUGGACUUUACGUGAUUAUCAUACUUGGGGAGGCCAGAUCUAUGAUUGUAUGGAACGGAUGUGAUCUCAGAAGUGAGUUUGAGUUUAUGCAUGGCAUGAACUCGUCGAGUCUAAAGAACAGACUCGGCGAGUAGCAUGAAGUUUGCCCGUAACCACUCAGCGAAUGGUCUUGCCGAGUUGAGGGGUCGACUCAGUGAGUCAAGGAGAGUCAGGGGGACUGAGUCAAGACGGAACUCGCCGAGUUGUUCUUGAGACUCGGCGAGUUGAGUCGUGGUGGCCCCGCGAUUCAUUCCAGGUGAAACUCGUCAAGUCAGAGAAGUACUCGGCGUGUCAAGAUAGGAUCCAAGAGAGUCAGUGGACACGUAUAGACUCGCCGAGUCGCCCUAGUGCACUCGCUGAGUCCGGUCAAAGUUCACCGUUGACCUUGUUGACUUUUAGGGUUGAGUGCAGUUGUAUUUAUGAGUGUAUUACUUUGUGUGAUUAGGCGGAGGCUGGAUCACAUUUAUUCAGAGACAGAUAUUUACCGAGUCAUCGAGGUGAGUCUUCUCACUAUACAUUACCUAGAGUGGUAUAUCGUGUAGACCAGAGGGUCUUAUGUGUUAUGUAUGAGAUUAUGUGCUUUGCGUUAUGUGUAUGUUGUAUGUUGAUAUAGACCGGACCGAAGGGUCGAACGAGCUAUGACCGGACCAGAGGGUCCAACGAGCUACGGGACUGGAGGGUCCCGCUGAGACAUAUCGAUCGGAGGGUCAUAUUAUAGCCUUGAGUGGCAUAUGUGUUGUAUGCGGUAUAUUUGGGGAACUAACUAAGCAUUUAUGCUUACAGUUGUUGUGUGAUGUGUUUCAGGUACCAGUGAUGAGCGUGGGAAGGCGCCGACAUGAUUCGUACACACUUGAGGAUUUUAUGUUUUUGGAUUUUGGGGAAAUGUCUUUGUGAUAAAUACAUUUGAAACAGUAUGUUUAUGUUAUUUUGUGAAAAAUGAUGGUUUGAAAAUGAAAAUUUUGUCUUGAAAAUUUACGUUGUUACAAGUUGGUAUCAGAGCCUUGGUUUGAGGGAUUCGGAUGCAUCUUCGGGCGUAUCUGAACUCAAACUGAGGAAUUGAGGACAAUUUUUAUAAUAAAAUAAAAUUUUUGAAAAAAAAUAAUAACAGAGUUUUGAGACAAACAGAGCAGAGCCGUGUGUACGAUCAGCCAGCGCCCGAAUGACGAAUUCCCCAAAAGUACCCUUACUCUAUGUGUUAUGAGAUAUGUUAUAUUAUGCAUGCUAUAGUAGGCUAAGUAUACAUAUUAGAACUAGAGUGGCCUGAUUUGUGAUGCCCUAGCCUAGGAGUUUUCUGCUGCUUAGAUGCUUUGAGGGCGAGUGAUAGCAGUUAGGAGCUCAUGAGAAUAGAGUACUUGUAAUCUAAGAUCCAAGGAGGAGGACUUAAAGUGAAUGCUGGUGCGGUGUGGUUAAUAGUAUUGGGCCUGUACUACUGAAGACCCCGGAUCAGUAGGCAUUUCAAGUAAGAAUCUUUUGGAUGACAGAGGACAAGUAGGGUUGCGUCAUCGAGUAUGAGCAAGUUUGAUCGAAUCUCUGAUAAUUUUUGUUGUAUUUCAGAGACCAGUGGUGUCAGCGACGAGGAGAUCCGUCGGAUGAUUCAUGAGGAGGUGGCUGCUGCCAUCCGGGCUGAGAUCCCUGAUAUGUUCGGAGACAUCAAGACCUCGUUGAUCGAGACUUAUGAUGAGCGGUACGCCGCGUUGACUGAGGCUGCUGCAGCUGCAGCUACUGCUGCCAGACCUCAGGGAGGUGACUCGUUGUUGUUCCGGGAGUUUAGCAACACGAAGCCACCAGAGUUCGACGGGACGCAGGACCCGAUUGCCGCUAUGAGGUGGAUAUCUGACAUCGAGGGAUGUUUCUAUAUGUGCUCUUGUCCAGAGCACUUGAGGGUUCAAGUCGCCUUGAACCAGCUCCGCCUGGGAGUGAAGGAUUGGUGGAAGUUCAUGACGGCAAACUUUACUUUGGCUGAGAUUUCUGAGGUGAACUGGGAGAGGUUCACCGCUAUGUUCCGAGAGGAGUAUGUUCCCCCGGUAGAGAGGGAACGGUUGAUCCAGGAGUUCUUGACCCUUAAGCAGGGUACUGAUUCAGUGACAGUCAUCACCAGGAAGUUCCAUGAGAGGGCGAUGUUUUUCCCUGAGCAGGUGUCAACUGAGCAGGCUCGUAUGAGCCGUUAUCGGGGUAUUCUAAGGAGAGAUAUAUGGGAGUUCAUGGCAAACUCGAAUUACCGGACAUUUGCUGAGCUCCAGGCAAAUGCCCGGAAGAGGGAGAUCGAGCUAGAGACUCAGGCCAGGGAGGAGGCCGAGUCUCAGAGGAUGGAUCGGCGGUCGGCCCAGUCUCAGACAGUAGCCAAGCGGGCUAGACCCGCUGAUUCGAGAUCUGGGGGCACGAAGGGCCGCACUUGUGGGAAGUGCGGUAAGAGUCAUGAGGGGUCAUGCAGGGCUGGAGUAUGUUACAAGUGUGGGAAAGAGGGGCAUAUCGCGAGGGAAUGCCCCAAGGGAUUCUCGGUUUGCUUUCAUUGCAACCAGACCGGCCAUCAGAAGGCCGAGUGCCCGCAGCUUCUUCAGGGAUCAGCGCAGGGAUCUGCGCCUGCUGCUAGGGUUACCGAGACUCGGCCGGUGAAGGCCGAGGCCCCGAGGGCUCGUGGGAGAGCGUUUCAGUUGACCACGGAGGAGGUGCGCGCAACGCCUCAUGUUGUGGCUGGUAUGCAUUUCCUUUUCAUCUUUUAUUUGAGUUGAGAUUUUAUGCUUAUAUGAUCAUAUGCGUAGGUACUUUUCUUGUGAAUUCUGUCCUGCACUGGNGAUCAUAUGCGUAGGUACUUUUCUUGUGAAUUCUGUGCCUGCACUGGUGUUAUUUGACUCGGGUGCAAGUCGGUCGUUUGUUUCCAUAGCAUUUAGUCAGCGUAUUAGUACCCGUCGAGAGGCAUUGGAUCGGCCUCUGCGAGUGUCCAUAGCUGAUGAGCAAGCUGUGUGUGCUUCGGAUGUGAUUAGAGGAUGUGUCCUUGAGAUCUUCGGUGUGGAGUUACUGAUAGUUUUUGUCCCGAUCGCGAUGGGGGACGUGUGUGUGAUAGUGGGUAUGGAUUGGCUGAGCCGUUAUGGAGUUGUGAUAGACUGCAAGUGUCAAUUUGUGUCAAUUCAAGACCCUAGUGGGAAAGUUCUUUCGGUGUAUGGCGAGGGUACGCGUUCGGGGUCAGCAUUUUGUUCGGCCGCCAGAGCGAGACAGAGUCUAACGCAGGGCUGUAGGNGUCAGCAUUUUGUUCGGCCGCCAGAGCGAGACAGAGUCUACAGCAGGGCUGUAGGGGUUUUGUGGCAUAUGUGAUGGAUGCGAGGGCUGAUAUUGAGAGACCGAAGUCAGUUGAUGAGGUUCCGAUAGUGCGUGAGUUUCCGGAUGUGUUUCCAGAGGACUUGUCGGGUGUGCCUCCGGAGAGGCAGGUAGAGUUUGGUAUUGAGUUGGUUCCAGGAGUUGCGCCUAUUGCUAAGGCACUGUAUCGCCUUGCGCCUCCGGAGAUGCAAGAGUUGUCCUCGCAGCUUCAAGAACUGCUGGGGAAGGGGUUUAUUAGGCCGAGCAGUUCGCCUUGGGGAGAGCCUAUCCUUUUUGUCAAGAAGAAGGAUGGCUCGCUUCGUAUGUGCAUCGAUUAUCGUGAGCUGAAUAAACUAACGGUGAAGAACCGUUACCCGUUGCCAAGGAUCGAUGAUUUGUUUGAUCAGUUGCAGGGAGCAUCUUGGUUCUCCAUAUCGAUUUGAGGUCUGGGUAUCAUCAGGUGAGGGUGCGGGAGGAGGACGUACAAAAGAUGGCCUUCCAGACUCGUUAUGGGCAUUAUGAAUUCGUGGUGAUGCCUUUCGGACUCACCAAUGCACCAGCAGUGUUCAUGGAUCUCAUGAACAGGGUGUGCAGACCAAUGUUGGAUCGCUCGGUGAUCGUGUUUAUCGACGACAUUCUGGUGUAUUCGAGAUCCAGAGAGCAGCAUGAGGAGCAUUUGAGGGAGAUCCUCGGAGUUCUGAGAUCGGAGAGGCUUUAUGCCAAGUUCUCCAAAUGUGAGUUCUGGUUACGAGAGGUCCAAUUUUUGGGGCACCUCGUUAACCAGAAGGGGAUUUUAGUCGACUCGGCCAAAAUUGAGGCAGUUAUGAGGUGGGAGGUGCCGAGAUCACCCACUGAGAUCAGGAGUUUUUUGGGUUUGGCCAACUAUUAUCGAAGAUUUAUUAAGGAUUUCUCCAAGAUCGUUGUGCUCCUCACCAAGUUGACCCGGAAGGGUGUUGCAUUUUCUUGGGGUCCGGAGCAGCAGACCUUGGUCGAGACCCUUCGCAGGAAGUUAUGCGAAGCCCCAAUGUUAGCCCUUCCAGAAGGGAUGGAGGACUUUGUUGUUUAUUGUGAUGCAUCGAUAUCCGGAUUAGGAGCGGUGCUUAUGCAGCGGGGGCAUGUGAUAGCAUAUGCAUCGAGGCAGAUUAAGCCUCAUGAGUCGAGAUAUCCCACUCAUGAUUUGGAGCUGGGAGCGGUGGUGUUUGCUCUCAAGAUCUGGCGACACUACCUGUACGGGGUUCGAUGUACCAUAUACACGAACCACAAGAGCUGGAAGUAUUUGAUGGAUCAGCCCAACCUAAAUAUGCGUCAGAGGAGGUGGUUGGACGUGGUCAAGGAUUAUGAUUGUGAGAUCCUGUACCACCUGGGCAAGGCUAAUGUUGUAGCCGAUGCACUAAGCCGUCGGGCGGAGAGCGCCCCAUUGCGAGAUGUAUGUUUGGGAUUGACGGUGAUGACCCCGGUUUUGGAUGCUAUUCGAGGGGCCCAAGCUGAGGCUAUGCAGCCUGAGAGCCAAAAGAGGGAAUGAGUUGUCGGAUUGGUAUCAGAGUUCGUUACUGAUAGCCGGGGGCUUAUGACAUUUCAGGGUCGGAUUUGGGUACCGUCCGUGGGCGGGAUGCAUACCAUUUUGAUGGAGGAGGCUCAUCGAUCGAAAUUCACGAUCCAUCCCGGGGCGACUAAGAUGUUUUUGGACCUGAAAAAGGAUUAUUGGUGGCCCUGUAUGAAGAGGGAUGUCGCAUGGUUUGUAGAGAGAUGCUUGACCUGUCGUCGGGUUAAGGCCGAGCAUCAGCGUCCGCAUGGUAAGUUGCAGCCUUUAGAGAUUCCCGAGUGGAAAUGGGAACAGAUUGCCAUGGAUUUCAUCACCAAAUUGCCAAGAACCGUGAGGGGUGUCGAUGCAAUUUGGGUGAUCGUGGAUAGGUUGACAAAGAGUGCUCACUUCCUGGCCAUCAGUGAGAGCUCUUCAGCGGAGAAGUUGGCGGAGAUGUACGUGAGAGAGGUGGUAUCGCGGCAUAGAGUGCCGAUUUCGAUUGUCUGAAAUCAAGAUGUACGUUUCACUUCCAGAUUCUAGAAGAAGUUUCAUGAGGAAUUGGGUACGAAACUGCAUUUUAGUACAGCAUACCACCCCCAGACCGACGGGCAGAUUGAGCGGACGAUUCAGACGCUCGAGGACAUGCUCCAAGCAUGUGUGUUGGAUUUCGACAGAAGCUGGGACACGUUUUUUUUCCCUUGGUGGAGUUCUCCUACAACAACAACCAUCAUUCGAGCAUUGGCAUGCCGCCCUUUGAGCUGUUGUAUGGGAGGAGGUGUCGGACCCCUAUCUGUUGGGGAGAAGUAGGGCAGCGCGUGAUGGGUAGUACCGAGAUCGUGCUUCAGAUGACAGAGCAGAUCCAUCAGGUCAGACAGAGGUUGUUGACCGCUCAGAGUCGUCAUAAGAGUUAUGCGGACAGACGCUGGUCCGAACUUGAGUUUCAGUUCGACGACUUUGUGCUCCUUAAGGUCUCUCCUUGGAAAGGAGUGAUUCGAUUCAGGAAGAGGGGCAAGUUGGGGCCCCGAUAUAUUGGUCCUUUUAGGGUGGUCGCGAGGGUAGGCAGGGUAGCCUAUCGUUUGGAGUUGCCAGCAGAGUUGGGUCAGAUUCACAACGCUUUCCACGUGUCGCAGUAGUGAAAGUGUGUAGANAGUCGGCAGUGGUGCCAUUAGAAGAUAUUCAGAUAGAUGUGAGCCUGAAUUAUGCUGAGAGACCGGUGGCGAUCAUGGAUCAGAAGAUCAAGGUUUUGAGGAACAAGGAAGUGCCACUGGUGCAGGUCUAGUGGCAGCAUCGGAAAGGGUCGAAGUUGACUUAGGAGCCGGAGCAUGAGAUGCGUGAGCACCAUCCGGAGUUGUUUGCAUAGUGAGACUUCGAGGGCGAAGUCUGAUUCUAGUGGGCGAGAAUUGUAACACCCCAGAUUCCCAGGUAUUAUUUUAUCCUUUUAUUUUUGGGGGAUGUGAGGAGACUCGGUGAGUUAGAGUCUAAACUCGCCGAGUAGGAUCGUGGUUUUUGCACGCGGGUUCGCGUCUGGACUUGGCGAGUCCAAAAGUGGACUCGGCGAGUCCAUGCGGUUUAAUGAAACCCUAAUUUAUAGGGUUUGAGACCUAUUUAAAGGGGCUUAUGGCCGUCAUUUGCAGCCACCAACCCCAGAGAGAAACCCUAAAGAGAUUUUGAGUGUUUUGGGAGAGAAAAGAGCCCAUUGUUAACCUUUAAAGCUUUGUUUGGCAAGGGAAAGGAGUUUCUAGCCAAGAGGAGGCAGGGGAGGUGGAUAUCUUUCGAAUUUGGAGCUCAGAGCAUCAUUUUGGAGGUAUAUUUUGGCUCCCUUUUUCUGUUGUUAUGAUGAACAUGGGGGUUUAGGGUUUCUUGACCCCUUUGUUGGUUAGAUUUGAUGUCCAUUUCGUCCCUAUUUGUGAUGAGGCUUGUAAUGGGAUCCAUAGAGGUCCAGAGAAGCUUUAUUCCUUAAGAUUUAUGAGGAUUCAUGGGAGUUUUGACCAAGGGUUAUGAGAUAUGGGGCUAAAACAUCAUAUAGGAGCAAAUAGUUGUUGUUUGAGCACCAAGGUUUGGACUUUACGU